CGCCCGCCGCGCGCGGCGGGCCUACGGGAGGCAGCAGUGGGGAAUAUUGCACAAUGGGCGCAAGCCUGAUGCAGCCAUGCCGCGUGUAUGAAGAAGGCCUUCGGGUUGCAAAGUACUUUCAGCGGGGAGGAAGGCGUUGUGGUUAAUAACCGCAGCGAUUGACGUUACCCGCAGAAGAAGCACCGGCUAACUCCGUGCCAGCAGCCGCGGUAAUA
This 215-nucleotide ribosomal RNA is filed under the name uncultured Cronobacter sp. RNAcentral's name for it is "partial 16S ribosomal RNA". It matches the Rfam family "Bacterial small subunit ribosomal RNA", at positions 309 to 525 of the family's 1533-position model. Lineage: Bacteria; Pseudomonadati; Pseudomonadota; Gammaproteobacteria; Enterobacterales; Enterobacteriaceae. The record is from RNAcentral.